RNAcentral lists this ribosomal RNA (925 nucleotides) under Arthrobacter sp. RNAcentral describes it as "bacterial SSU rRNA". It matches the Rfam family "Bacterial small subunit ribosomal RNA", at positions 551 to 1472 of the family's 1533-position model. The record is from RNAcentral. Lineage: Bacteria; Bacillati; Actinomycetota; Actinomycetes; Micrococcales; Micrococcaceae.
UUAUUGGGCGUAAGAGCUCGUAGGCGGUUUGUCGCGUCUGCCGUGAAAGUCCGGGGCUUAACUCCGGAUCUGCGGUGGGUACGGGCAGACUAGAGUGCAGUAGGGGAGACUGGAAUUCCUGGUGUAGCGGUGAAAUGCGCAGAUAUCAGGAGGAACACCGAUGGCGAAGGCAGGUCUCUGGGCUGUAACUGACGCUGAGGAGCGAAAGCAUGGGGAGCGAACAGGAUUAGAUACCCUGGUAGUCCAUGCCGUAAACGUUGGGCACUAGGUGUGGGGGACAUUCCACGUUUUCCGCGCCGUAGCUAACGCAUUAAGUGCCCCGCCUGGGGAGUACGGCCGCAAGGCUAAAACUCAAAGGAAUUGACGGGGGCCCGCACAAGCGGCGGAGCAUGCGGAUUAAUUCGAUGCAACGCGAAGAACCUUACCAAGGCUUGACAUGAACCGGAAUGAUGCAGAGAUGUGUCAGCCACUUGUGGCCGGUUUACAGGUGGUGCAUGGUUGUCGUCAGCUCGUGUCGUGAGAUGUUGGGUUAAGUCCCGCAACGAGCGCAACCCUCGUUCCAUGUUGCCAGCGGGUUAUGCCGGGGACUCAUGGGAGACUGCCGGGGUCAACUCGGAGGAAGGUGGGGACGACGUCAAAUCAUCAUGCCCCUUAUGUCUUGGGCUUCACGCAUGCUACAAUGGCCGGUACAAAGGGUUGCGAUACUGUGAGGUGGAGCUAAUCCCAAAAAGCCGGUCUCAGUUCGGAUUGAGGUCUGCAACUCGACCUCAUGAAGUUGGAGUCGCUAGUAAUCGCAGAUCAGCAACGCUGCGGUGAAUACGUUCCCGGGCCUUGUACACACCGCCCGUCAAGUCACGAAAGUUGGUAACACCCGAAGCCGGUGGCCUAACCCCUUGUGGGAGGGAGCCGUCGAAGUGGGACCGGC